Molecule: long non-coding RNA, 4225 nt
Organism: Haplochromis burtoni (Burton's mouthbrooder)
Lineage: Eukaryota; Metazoa; Chordata; Actinopteri; Cichliformes; Cichlidae
Exons: 4
Source: RefSeq, a predicted model, not a curated record
UAUAUUGGGAAACGAUGAGGGGAAGCAGACGUGAUGGGGAGGGGAGGAGUGGUGUUUCCACACAAUACCAUAAGACCUCAGUCAUCCCGAAUAUAUUACCAUAAAAGCACAAGAAAGAUGUCAAUUCAAUUUUGCCAUCUUCUGGCAGGACAAAGCACAGGCUGCUGUUUGGAGACUGCUUGCCGAUGAGAUAGACGCCACCAUGCUGGAAGAGUGACAGCAGCACAAAAGGCUGUAAUGCAAUCACUCCGUCUUCUCUGGUCAAGCUUCUCCAGGAUGGCACAUCCGUACAAGACAUUGCAAGGUUUGCUGCAUUUCCCAACACAGUCUUAAGAGUCUUAAGAGUGUGGAGAAGACAUGAGGUGAGCUGGGCAGGACUGUAGAAAGGGCAAUAACCCAGCAGCAGGCCCAUAUCUGCUUUUUUUUUUUUUUUUGCAUGGGGGGCAGCAGGAGUGCUGCCAGAGCCUUAAAAAUUAACCUACAGUGGACUACUCGUUAUUCUGAGCAGUGUUUAGCAAAGUGCAAAGAAAAAAAAACAGUGAAAGAUAGAGAGCAGAUGAUCAUGAAGGGUGUAAUGCUCAGAACUGAACAGUAAUGGACCCAAAGCAGAAACAUUCACAAACACUAAGAAAGGACUGGACUGUAAAUACACUGAGGGCUGAUUGUGAGUAGGAAACAGCAGAGGAAUGAGACACAGGUCACAGGUGAAAACAAACAGCACAAUAACAAAGUGGGAUGUAAAACAAACACAAAGGAAGAAGGAAGCCCGAUUCAGAUCCCAGAGACAAGAAGUCUCAAUAUACAUGAAGACAGAGAGAAAUGAACUUUUGAGCACUCAGAUGCAUCCACACAGGAAAUCAAAUCAGGAAUGAACAGACAGGGAACUAAACUAAUAUUUAGGGAACUAAACACAAACAACAAACUCAAAGCAGGAACUUCUUAGGAAUAAUCCUAGAACAGAAACCAGAACCUAGUCUGCAUUCUGCAAAAACAUGAAAGCUUAAUAUACUAGAAUACACAUUUGAAGCAUGAACUGUAACACAGGACACCUCACAAGAAAAUUCACUUUAGAAUAAUAACAAAAUGAAAACAGGAACCCAACAUUUCAAAUGCCGGGAUAAUUGAACCCAAACUCAGAGAUAAUCAAAACCCUGUGACUGUGACAACAGCACAGCAGAAAAAGACAUAAUGACUAGUUUGAGGAAGGAGUGGAGAAAGAAGAGCACCCAGGUAUCAAUGCAUGUCUGCAUGUAUCACUAUGGGACUGUCUGUGAUGUCGAUAUUACAGAGUGCUGUUAACGAGACAUCAGACAGCUGCCCUACUUUCUAUAUUUUUACCCCGUCGUGUCGUGUGGAACUAUUGGCAGUUCUUCCAUAACAGCUUGUGUUGCUUUGAUCGAGAAUAUAUACAAAUGAAGCCACUGCAGGUGCUGCAAGAAGAAAUGAUAAUAAUUGUCAGGUAUGCUAUCUUGGUUGUAUGUAUUUGUGUUCAGUGUUUUGAGACACAGGGGCACCAGCAGUCGGCCAAUUACUAUGAAAACCCACACAAACUUCUCUGCGUGUAAUAGCUGAGACUCAGUGAUGUUGCUUUUAGUUGGAAUAAACCCAGAUACGAUUAAGCUACAUGAAGCAGUAAAUCCUUGCAAUGAAUUGUCAGCAAAUGAUGGGAACAGAUGUGUGGUUGGAGUAGGAUGCACCGGGCUCUCUUUGCAUGCUUUCUGCUGUUCAGUUGAACGCUGCACAUUCACAAAAUUGAGAAGCAGCUACAGAAGAAAAAUAAACAUCCAAUCUCAUCUUCUGUGUGAAAUUGGACAUUAUGGAAUAGAUUCAUCAUUCACAUCAGACAAGAAAAAAAACAACCUAAUGGGAUUGUUUUUUUUUUUGUUUAUGCUGAUUAGACACUAGAAUCUAAAGAACAUUACGCUGAUGCAAUGUGAUGGAUUAUCAGACUGUGAACAGAGUGACAGGUUAUUUCUUCAAUACGGCUUCAAAAAGGCAGGGAGUUUGGGUAAGCAAAUACAGAUAGAUCAGUGAUUUGUUGGACAAAGACACUAUUUUUGUACUUUUGCCCCUCUACACCACAACAGCACAGUUUUGUAUUUAAUAAAUGAAAUGCUGUUCUGUUGGGUUGGCAUCAGGUUAUUGCCUUGGCCAUUGAAUUUUCCAUAUCACAUAUCUGUGCUAUAUCUUUGAGAAACUCUUAUGUUGGUUUUGCAUUUUGCUUUGAGUCAUGAUCCUUUUUGCAUCGUGCGUCCCUGUUAAACUAAUUUUGGAGCAUUUGUCUGAUUCUGUGCAGCGAAUAUAGCCCUGCACCAGUGACCCCAGGUCCAUUGGCAACCAUACAUCCUGCCAUCAUAACACUGCCUUCACCAUGUUUGACAGAUGGUCGUAUAUGCUUCAGAUCAUGAGCCGUUCCUUCCCUUCUCCAUACUUUUAUCUGCCUAUUUGGUUCAUCUUGUAUCAUCUGUCCAAAAGGUUUCCAGAAGUUUACAAAGCAGUGUUUUAUGGCAAAGUCUAAUUUUCAAAUCCUUUGUAUUUCCAUUCAUGAAGGCAUCUGUUGAUUGUAGAGUUAACCCACCUCUUUGGGAGUGACCUUGACUUGGCUCUAUGUUGUUGUGUUUCUUAACCUUGGAAAUAAUUCUGUCAUCAUGCACUUUCCUUGUUUUCUGACAUCAUUCAGGCAUUUCGGUGUUCCUGAGUAGGUCAGAAUAGUCAUCAUUUUUAAGAAUGGACAACACUCUUGAUUAGGCCACUCCUGAUGUCUCUCCAGCAGGUUUAUUUUGUUUUUAUAUGCAAUUACAGUAAAAAGCUUUGAAAGCUUCAUUUUGUCAAGGGAACAAGGCUCCUGUAGCCAUUAAACUGCAGUCAUUCGUCCAAUUAAUUUUGAUGCUCUGAAGAUGAGGAACUACUUAUAAAAUUUUUUGUAAUUCCUUAAAAUUUAAUGAAAUGUUUUUGUCAAACACUUGAAUUAAAGCUGAAAAUGUGCACUCCAAUCACAUCUUGAUUUAACAUCUACUAUGAUGUGUACAGCAAAACUACAUCAGAACGUAUGUUUUAUCCAACACAUUAGGAACCUCACUUUACAUCUACUGUGUGUUUUUCUAUUGAAUGGAGGAUUUAAAUCUGCAGUCAACUUUCCUUACUGGUUUCAGGUAGCAGGUGGUUAACGUGAAAUGAAUAUGAAAUGGAAAAUGCCUUCAAGUCUUUCCAACGUGUGAAGAAAGGAUCACCCAACGGCUGAAAAAAGGUGCCCCAAAUCAAGUCAAUUAUAAUUAAAUGCUGCAUCCACAAGAUCUUCUUUUUACCUCAUGGUUUACUGGGAUUGAGUCUUCAAUUGAAAACUGCUGAUUUUUAUUACAGAGAAGCAACAACGCAUCAAGAAGACAUAAAUGACAACAGACAUCAAGCAAACACCCCCACAGCUGGUGGGACUCAGUCUGGUUGCUUUGACCAAAUGUUCCAUGAGGAAUUUCCCAGAAAUCACAUGCUCAUCAUUACAUGUUCUUGGCAGGCCUUUUCAUCCUGAUAUUACCUAACUAAGCAUCCCAAAAGGAAACAGCUGAUGAGGAGAACCUCACAAAAACCUGAAUGGUUUGACUCUGGAAGAAAACAAUCACAUCAGAUGACAAAGCCUUAUUGAUCUGUUUGAUUUUGUUUAUGUCUCUUUGAGAGCUUCGCCCUUGAGUGUACCUGGCUGCCAAACACAGUCAACAAGAGUCCAUUAAUUUGCUGCUGAGAAGCUACUUACAGCUCCUUGCUAAUGGCUGAUUUUUCCACCACUCUCUCAUGUCUUUCAUCAGUGGUAGUGGGUGGAAGGAGUGUGUUUGUGAGGAGAGUUAUUGGUGAUAGGGUAGUGAUGGCAGAGUGGGGGUGUCCAGGCAGUAAUUCUUGAUUCACCUCCUGUGCUGUAACAUGGGUCUGAGCUUCAGCCAUAUUGGCAUAGCCAUUAUUUUCAAUGCAUGCAUUAGAAAGAGCCAAAGUGAAAAACCUUUGAUGGUUUCAGUCUUCUUGAUGCACACAAACAGGACUCAGAACCAAUGCCACAGCUGCAGGACAGCAUUCACGUUUUUGGAGAGGAGAUUGGGAAACACAAAGAUUCAGAAUCGGGUUUGCUCAUGCCGUGGCAGCUUGCAAUGGAACGCGAUAAAUAACAGGUCAUCAAGGUGAUAAAGCAUUGAGCUGGAAAUGGGAUUGUGCCUGUAAGGCAGCGGACCAGGCAGCACAA